Transfer RNA from Camelus ferus (Wild Bactrian camel), 73 nucleotides. It matches the Rfam family "tRNA". Rfam says of the family: Transfer RNA (tRNA) molecules are approximately 80 nucleotides in length. Their secondary structure includes four short double-helical elements and three loops (D, anti-codon, and T loops). Further hydrogen bonds mediate the characteristic L-shaped molecular structure. tRNAs have two regions of fundamental functional importance: the anti-codon, which is responsible for specific mRNA codon recognition, and the 3' end, to which the tRNAs corresponding amino acid is attached (by aminoacyl-tRNA synthetases). tRNAs cope with the degeneracy of the genetic code in two manners: having more than one tRNA (with a specific anti-codon) for a particular amino acid; and 'wobble' base-pairing, i.e. permitting non-standard base-pairing at the 3rd anti-codon position. The record is from Rfam. NCBI's taxonomy places the organism in Eukaryota, Metazoa, Chordata, Mammalia, Artiodactyla, Camelidae.
GAGGAUAUAGCUCAAGUGCUAAAGCACAUGCUUAGCUUGCAUGAGGUCCUGGGUUCAAUCCCCAGUACCUCCU